Molecule: ribozyme, 64 nt
Filed under: unclassified sequences
Description: pistol ribozyme
Rfam family: Pistol ribozyme
Source: RNAcentral
AGUCGUCUGAGCGACUUAAAAUAGGCUUUAAGCUCAGAGCGUAGCCCUUCGGGGCUGGGUAGUU